Molecule: long non-coding RNA, 524 nt
Organism: Oreochromis aureus
Lineage: Eukaryota; Metazoa; Chordata; Actinopteri; Cichliformes; Cichlidae
Exons: 3
Source: RefSeq, a predicted model, not a curated record
UUCUGCUAACACAAACAGGUAGCUGAGGCAAUCGUUUAAAUACUGAGAGUUUAGAAGGUGUCAGCAGUAUUUCUGAGUGUCACACUGAUGACACUUUAUUUGUCUAACACUUUAUUUCCUCCGAGGAUUUUCCCACUAUACUCUUAGAGCCGGGUGAAGAGAAGACAUACGGAAGAAGAGGCUGAAAGUCUCCUCGGAGGACAGCAGCGAUGCCUCUCCGGUGGUCCCGCUCUCAUCUCCGGCAAAGCCACGAACCGUCCGCCUGCAGUGCACAAGUCAGUUGUGUCGCAAAGCUGCAAAGCAGGUGUGAUUUUUCCUCAUAAUCAGCCCUUCAUAAAUCCCAGGAGGGCUGAGAGGACCCGGCUGAGGAGUCACGGAGGAAUGUAGUCCUCCGGACCAGAAAAAAACCUCCAGCAUUUCCUGAAAUUACAGCCAGCACACUCCUGUGCCAUCUCCCCGACGCUCCGUGGUUCUAUUUUGCCGACGGCGGAGGUAUUACAGACAGGGGAAAAGCGCUGAAAGUU